Molecule: long non-coding RNA, 726 nt
Organism: Cygnus atratus (black swan)
Lineage: Eukaryota; Metazoa; Chordata; Aves; Anseriformes; Anatidae
Exons: 3
Source: RefSeq, a predicted model, not a curated record
GCUGGUGGAGAGUAUUUUUCUCUCCUAUUUCUCUUAAAUGAACUUAUCCUUAUCUGUCAUUCAUACUGCAGCCAGUGAUUCAAAUAUUGGUUCCACUGCUAAUUUAAUUGCUGCCAAGAGUUGCUGAAGUUAGGAGUGCUGCAAGGUAUGUAAAGGGAGUACCUCUGAAUAAAUUACUUCUCUGGCUAACAAAGCAACAUAUGCCUCAUUUGUUCCAUCCAUCAUUACAGAAGAAGCACAAGUGAGCGUAUGACCAGAGGAAGGAGAUGAUCCAGGUGAAAGCCAACUAUUUUUUGGUGUGGUUGGAUGUGUGAACUCAAGUCAUGGCUCUGCGUAGGGUGAUGAGCAGUGGGGACCCUGGUGAUAAAAGCAUGAUUAUCCCAUCUGUCCAGUGGAAAUCAGAAUGUUUCUAUCUGGCCUGAUUACCUUCAAUACUCAUCUCAGAAAAGAAAGGAACUUCCAAUCAUUCAGGAUGAAAUUCACCUUAUCUAACUGUCCAACUGAAAGUAAGACAGCUGGUCCAAGCUAAUCAUCUACGCUAAUCACCUUCUCUUUACAUUCACUGGAGGUAAAAAACAAACAAACAAACAAACUAAAAAACACCGGAUGGUGUUUCCUUCUCUGUCUCCUAUAUUUCAGGAUGGGAUGAACUGACAGUUGGAGAUGCAUAUUUUCUAAUAAUUGUUUAAUUCAUGUUAAAGGCAUACUAAAAGUGCAAGUGAGACU